Long non-coding RNA from Bombyx mori (domestic silkworm), 3093 nucleotides. RefSeq lists it as uncharacterized. The transcript has 2 exons. NCBI's taxonomy places the organism in Eukaryota, Metazoa, Arthropoda, Insecta, Lepidoptera, Bombycidae. The record is from RefSeq and is a predicted model, not a curated record.
CUUCUGUCACCUGUUAAAAUAAAUAUUUAAAUCAUAAACGUUUCUAGAUUUAACAAAUCAAUUACGCAGCGAAGGCGAACAUGUUCUUUUUAUUUUGGGAAAUAAAUUACGUUCGCUGCCAUUAAUUACGGAAGGGGUGGAGUCUGGUUUUUUUAUUUGCUGUAAAUAGGCUAGUGUAUAACAGUGUGACAGUAAUGUGGUUCGUGAAAACAAACAUACGUCAAAAUCACUCGCGAUCCAAGGUGCGACUGAUCAUAAAUAAUACACUUAUAAUUCCACCAAGAACCGUGAGCGAUAUGAAGUUGAUAAAUAAAUAAAAUUAUACAGAACAAUAACAGAAAAAACCUUAUUUAUUUAUGCCUCUUUGUUUAGUCCAUCGUGUUGCGGCCAAGGCGGCCAAACCACUUUCGUGUCCCUCAAAGACUCAAAGCAAACUUGUCCGGUAAUGUUCUGAACCAGAUGGUGACAUCAUCAACGUAAUUGUCUUUUUCAAUCAACUUCACCUUUAAUUUAUACACUUGCUUUAGUCAGCUUUGUUCUAUUAUUAAGUACCUACUUUCGAAACGGUUAAAAAGAUUCUUUAUUUAGAUCAUAUAAGUAAUUAGUAGCAGCAUAGGAGUAAGUAGUAUGCAGUAAGCGCUUCUGCAAAACUUGGGGCUUUUUACCUACGCCUGUAGACAAACAAAUGCACGUUUAUCGUAUUGUGUGCUUAAUGCGAGUUUUUUAACGUUCUCGAUAACGUAAAAGUUAACUCAACAUUUUAUGGAGUCAGAACGUUUGCCUACGUUUGCCGAUAGGGGCUGCAUAUAAAUUUGAGUUAACUUUUACGCUAUCGAGAACGUUAAAAAACUCGCACUAAGCACUAAGCAAUCAACGACAUUACUCUUGUUCAUUUACAUAAGUAUUAUUGUAGUCACUACGGCUCACUCCAGAAUAUAUUAUUUAACUAGUCUUUUUUUGCUACCUAUCCUAGUAACCUCGAGAGGUUAUUCUAGUUUUACCGAGCGUGUCUAGUCUCUAGUCUUCUAGCUUAAAAUAUCUCGUCGCUAUCCUCAAGCUUCGGAUAGCUACUACAAAAUCGUAUAAAUAAUUAAAUAUAUACGACUCUAAUGUUUUAUGUAGGUUCGAGCAAUAAGACAAUUCAAUGUGUCCUUCAUAAUUAGUCAAGUGAGUGUUGUUUGUUGGGAAUGACGUGAUCGACGAUGCGGGGGCGAAAUGAAAUUGCUGUGUGCCGUGAUUGCGAUCUUUUCAAUGAACUACUCGGUUUUGUGACUGCGAGUGGGAGUCGAACAUCAAUGUAUUUACAUAGCACCAACGUUCUACACGUAAACCGAUUUCGUUUGUCUAAACGAUUUGUUUUGACCUGUAUCUAAACUUUUUUAUUCAUUUCUCAUGAUUGUUUUAAUAAUAAACAACACAAAAUAGGUAGUAAACUGAAGAGUACUAACAGAGCACGCCGUGAGACUUAAAUGUCAUUAAUGUUAUAAUUAUAACAGAAAUUUGAGAAUUGUAGUUUUGUUGUUUCUGUUCGUUCUGUAUUUGAAGUAUGUAUCCCAAAGAUCCCCACACUAACGAGAAAAGCUACAGAGAAUAAGGUUGAGGUAACAGUAAAAUAAUGUCCAUGUACUGAUUAGAAAUUACUGUAUGCGUGUUGUUCUGUGGUAUUUUUUGUAUGACUACUGUAAUGUCUUAAUGAUUAUUGAAAUACAUAUAAAUUUAAUACUGUAUUCAAAACAUAUCUAAUGUUUAUUUUGUUAGAAAGGUAAAAACUGUUUAGCAUUGUGGAGAACAUUUACUUUAUGGUUCAAGGUUAAUUAAUUAGACUAAGACACUGCAAGUGUGCUUGCUUAAAUUGAUGUAAAACUGUUUUUUUUUUUUCAUAAUGAAGGUAUUUUAUUUUUUAAUUUCAUUAAUAUUUUAUACACGCGAUUAAACCGUAAAAGUAGAUACGACAUAGUAAUAUUAUUUUAUUUUACUAAAUUAAUUGUGUUAGAUAAAUAAAAUAUGAGUAAAGACGUGAGAUUGUAUUUUUUUUUACUGCUUUAUAUAAUUUUCAUGACGUCUACGAAUCGCGAAAAUCGAAGAAAAUAUUAGACUCUAUUUUACGUGUCUACCAGAAAAAUCUUUGAAAUUUUAUUACAAACAGAUUAUAACGAUAUCUUAACAUUCAGGACAUUCCACACAGAUCUAAUAUAAUCGGUAUUAUCGAUAUUAAGGUCAAGGUAUUUAUUAUUUUAAAUAGUUUCAGCUUGUAUAAAUUUUGGUAAAAUGUAGAAAGUCCGAUAUAUACAAUAAAAUUUUUAAUAAUAGGGUAAGUCCGGGGUAGAUGGCCAUAUGGGAGAGACGGCCUAUCAAAAUAUUUCAAGGUAUCGUUCACUAAAUGUCACUGGUUAACGUUUAGUUUUCUGCGCGACAUGCGUGAGGGCAACGGUGCGACAAAAUAUUUGGCGAAAAAAGAAGAAAAAAGCCCUAUAAUCGUGUUCACAAAAUCAUGCAUUAAAAAUGCCACGAUGUCUAAUGUUUUACACCCGAGUGCUCCGAAAGAGGCUUCGUUCAGUAAGAAUCCAGAUUACACCCCAUCUCGAAUUCUACAGGAUAUAUCAACCAGUCCACAAAAACUGACUCAAGUGUGUAAAUGAGCAAAGCAAGUUGGAACACUUUUUAAUUCGAAAGAACACAUCUAGAACUAGAAAAACUGCUGCAGAAAAAAGUAUAAAAAAGAAAAAGUAAUAAAAUGUGUCAAAACAAAGAAGGAAAAAACAGACAAUAGAAGGACUGUUCAAUGUAUAAAAAAAAAGCUAUUCGAAAACUAUCUGAGAAUAGUGAUAUGAUAAUCCAUUAAAAAUAUUGUCAGAUAAAAAUGAGAAAAGAAAGUGACACGAAAAGGACAACUGUCGUGGGUGUGGUAAAAAUUACUAGGGAACACUUCUCAUCGAAGAGUGGCUUCAAUAUACAGUGUCAGUAUUGAGUUCACGAACACUAUACUGAAUUUGAAACGACGUGCUCCAGAUGUGACGAAGAGGGGAAAACAAUACUUAAAAGUAGAAAAUGAGAACAAAAGGCAAUUAUAAGUCUAGAAUUAAGCUAUGGUCA